Molecule: long non-coding RNA, 20362 nt
Filed under: Prunus persica (peach)
Lineage: Eukaryota; Viridiplantae; Streptophyta; Magnoliopsida; Rosales; Rosaceae
Description: long non-coding RNA (PPER_LNC006707)
Source: RNAcentral
AUAGACUUUGCUAAUGCAGCCAAAUUGAUCUCCAUCAGGAUGUGGCAAGCUUAACUCAAUAGCUAAUGGCUUCAAAGUCCCAUCAUUUUCUAAGAAAAGUAGUGUUCUGCUUGAAUAAGUUUUUGUGGAAGUUGUGUUUAUACGCCUCAGGUACGGCAUCAAUGCAUCGUGGUGGUCUAAUAUGAAUAGCUUGUUGUUCUUGAUUGCCUACAACACCAAAUACUUUUCAGUAAUUAUUUUCGAAUAAGAGUAUUGUGAGAAUGUGAACACAUUCUCACAAGUAUAACAAGAACAUAUGUUGAAUUAAAUAAGUCAAUAGCAUUACCUCAUCUAUGCUCAGUCCUUUUAAGUUAUGUUCUAUGUGUUCUUUGGUUAUUUGACUUGUUUGAUCCCCAUAUGCUUUUUGGUCUAGCUUGCUAGCGGGUGGAAAUUCCUGCAGUUUAUUAAGGAAUAACAAUGAUUAAGGAUGAAAGUCAAAGUAAUAUAAAUUCAAAAGUAGCUUCGAGUUUUCCAUUUUCUUAAAUAAUAAUAAAUAAAAAAACAAAUGUACACAAUAGAUCAUGAAAGCUUAAGAUUACUUGGAGACGACGAAUGGCGACAGGAUUUACUCCAGCCAGCAUUUCUCUUGCAAAUUCUUCAUCAGUUCUCCAUGCCGACUUAUUGUCUAGUAAAAAUCAUUAGAAGACCUGAGUCGGUUAAGAGAAAGCAGUAUAUAUGAAGGCACAUAGACUGGUAAACUAUAUACCUUGGAUCACUUGAGGCACUGGGAAUUUGAGGAAGUUUUCACCAUCAGUUGGAAAAAGUUCCUUGAACAGCUCUUCAUGUAUGCUAUCCCUAAUAUAUUUUAGUAUACCAUCAGGCAACUCUAUACCUCCUUCAUAGAGCAUAAGUAUUUCUUGCAUGUUGUUGAACUCAUUGUGGCUGCCAACAAGUAGAGCUGCUAGCUCAGGUUUAAGGACCUGAGGUAUGGUUUUCAAACCAUAAGCAAGCAAGUCUGACAAUUUUAAGGGACCAAAUCGUUCGUCUCUUGGAACGUAUAUAUUUAGGCUCAUAAUAAGCUUCAGCUGGCUCUCAGUGUUAGGAUCUAUCAAGACAAAAUCAGAAAAUUCUUCAUGACAACCAUUCUUUCUGAAUGAGCUAAAAGUAAUAGAAAUCCAUAUUUCCCGUUUGUCAUUUCUAAAGACUGAAAAUAUACCAAGUUUAGCAACUAACCUGUCUUAGUUGGUGGUCUUCCUGUUCUUCCCCUGCGAGGAUAAGGGAACUCACUUGACCCUCCCAGAACUGGACGGGCAUACUCCUGACCCUUAUCUGGAUUCCCCAAAUCAUUGUAAUAGGCAUAGUCAUAGACCCUGUCCCAUUCCUGAAGCUCUCUUGUUUUAUCAUCAUCAUCUCCUCUCAAGUUUACUAGCUCUUCUUCUCUGAAUUUCUGUAGUGGCUUUGGUGUGUCACUUGAAAGAUAAGUCUGCACAAAUAUACAAAUCAACCUACUAGUUUACCAUUUUCAGUAUUUCUAGCAGUCCAUAAACUACAACUAAAUGAGUUUGUCUUAAUGGACUUCAAUCUACUAGUUUACCUUGUUUGUGAAGAAAAUGCGGUCUUUUUUGUACUUGUCAGCGGGGUACACCCAUGAGUUGCAGACAAAGUGGAUUCGACCUUCACCAGGAACAUCUUCAAGCGUGAGUGUCUUCAAGUAAAACUCACUGUGAUGAUCAUUUCUAAUUAUAAAUGCUCCUGGGACCCCAAUCUCCUCAUCCCAAUCAAAAGUAAUAUCAAAUGCAGAGUCCCCUGCUGUUAAGGGGGUGAUUGUGGUAAUCCAAUUUUCCAAAUAUGCUGGCUUUCCAACUUUUCCUGGGGACCCCUUUUCUACAAAAGGAGAUCAAAUGAAAAAUGGAUCAAUAGAUGUUCAAUUAUAAGACCUCCAAAUACUGGUUAUUUUUUCUCUGUUCUAAAUUGAGAUGUUCUGUUUUCUCUUUUGAGGUUCUGGUACUAAUAACUACAACUAACUUGGAACCAUUAAAUAAGCAUGGAUGCUAACAAAUUAACAAGUAAACUAGAAGCCCAUGUAUCAAUGAACUUAAAAGACAAAGUAGUAUUCAGCUCUCACCAGGGUCACCAUUGACUGAACUAAUGAGCUGCAGAGAAACCGCUUUGCCUACCAGCUCAUCAACACGAUCGAGAACCGAUGCUGUAAGGUCGUUCAAGUCCAGAACAUUCUUCUUCAUCAACACCACCCUCCCUUUGAUCUUCUUGUCCUCAUAUUUGGGGUGUGGAUCAAUGGUGUUGUUCUGGGAUGCCUUGGCAGCUGUCGAAGCCAAAGGCAACGGUUGAGAUCGUGUAACAUCAUCCAUGCUCAAGAAACCAGGCAAUUUAGGCAACAGUAGUGCCCUGUGAUUGAUUGAUGUGAGGUUGUUGGGUGUUGCUACUGCAACUACUUUUCUCUUGAAGCUAAAAGGGGUUAAGAGAUGCUUGCAAUGUAACAUCUUCUAUCUGAUUCAAGAACGAAAAGAACUUAGUAGAAGAUGGUUUGAAGAUCUCAGCAUGAAGAAUAUGAGAAGGGUGUGUGUAGUAUUUAUUAAGGUCAGUGAGUUCAUUAAUUGUUCAAUAUAUAGAAUAGUAGUAUAGGUGACCAUUUCUUUUAGAAAGACUCGUAUACUACUUGCCCUGCAUGUGGAGGUCUUUUCGAAGUUACCAAUCUAAUCCAGCUACGUUUUCCUCCAUUUCUGCGGCUGACUUAAUGACCCGUCCUUUUCUAUGGAUUAUAUGAUUCAAGAAACCUCGCAGGGGCUUGUAGUUCAAGUAAUUAAGAAUAAUAAUGUAUCCUAGAUCUUAAGUCCAGUUCUUCUCUCUCCAAUAUUUCUUUGUAUCAAAAAAACCUCAACCUAUUUUUUUCUUGGUGAAUACCUCCAACCCACUUGACCAAAUAACCAAAUAUAGACAUCAGAUCAAAAAAAAAAAAAAAAAACAAAUAUAGACAAAUUUUAGCAAGACUUGAUUCUCUAAUAACAUCUGUAUUUGUUGAACAACUCCUGUCCUUUUCUGUUGUCUAGCUAGUGGCCCUUCGUCUACAAUUUCCACCGCCCCGACAGAAUUUCAACUCCUCUGUUUUGUAGUUAUUAGUUGUUCAAACCCUCUUUGUUUAUAUCUUUUGUGUCUCUAUUAUUUGCCAUGUGUAUGCAUAGUAUUGGAUGAUUUCAAUUAUGCUCAUACUCAGGCUUAAAAUGUAAUUAGCCACGACCAAAAAACACGUCCUUACCUUUCACGUAGUUGACAGAAACUCAAUCUCUCUCGCUCACACUGUAUGUGCCUAGGGUUUCUUUCAACAAGUGCCCAAGCAAUUAACUACGACUAAAAACAACAUCAGAAUGGAGGAUCUAAUCGCCCUCAACAAGGAGGUCGACAAGCGUUCACCAGAAGAACGUGUAUCUUUCUCUCUUCUUCUUCUUCUUCCCCUUUGUUGGCCUUCUUAUCAAUUUACUAAAAAGAAAAUCAUUGAUCACUGUAAUAUAUUGUCUCUCUCAUGCACAACACAAGUGGGUUCUAAACUUUUAACUGCUGACCCAAAUAACUCUUACAUUUUGAUCAUAGAUAUCUUAUGAAAAAUAAAAAUUAUGGUAAGUAUGCAAGCUCACAUGGGUGUUGUAAUUCUUCGUUGGUGUGUUUGGGCCACUCAGAUAAGUAAAACAACCAACUCUGAAAUACAAGUAAAAGGGAUUAGACUAUUUCAAAUUGUUAAGGCGGUUGUGUAUGAAGUUAUUCCAUUCAUGAGAUUUCUAAAAUAUUAUUAUUACUAUGAUAAUUAUGUAAAUGAACAAAGCAUCUUACCUAUGAGUCUUGAUAUUUUUUUUUCACAGCAACAGAUUUGAAGAAGCUUGGUCGAUGCUGAACUCUGCUUUAGACGAGUAUGACAUUUUCACGUGAAUUGGAUGUAUGUUAUAAUAAAUGUUGUUUGUAAAUUUAUUGACUUUUUGUAAAUAUGAACUAUGGAUCAGUGGUUUUUUUUUUUUUUUUUUUCAAUCUAUGUAUGGUUUUGUGCUCAUACUGAUUACUUUUAGUUAUGCACAUAUUAAGUUUUUCUUUUUAAAAUCAUGGUUAGGAUGAGAAUGUCAUCACAUUCAUGACAACCAAGGCAAAGGACCCAUAUGCUAUUCUCAAGGCUAGAUAUCUUGUUCUACUUUUGUCAGCAGAAGUUCCUCCUCAAAUAAUAGGGUCCCCUACGAAAUUUUUUUCAACGAUCCAAACUAUCUAUUUUUUAAGUAUAUAUUUAUAGAUUAUCCAUGCAAAAAAUUAGACAAAUUCCGUUUCGACAUCCAAUUGGGUCCUACAAAAUCAAUGAACAUGGUGCUUCAAUAAAAUACUUGAAUUUCAAUAAUUUAAUUGAGUAGUGAAAUGAUAUCGGAUUUAAGUGAUUUUUUGUAGAGAUGAAUCUUUCAAAUAAGCUAAUUUGAAAGAUCUCCCAAUGGAAACUCUCUAUGUAUCUAAAGGUAUUGUACACUGUAGCCAAUUUAUUUACCAGGCCCCACCCUGAGGCAGGGCGAGAAGGGCUACUGCCCUAGGCCCCAUCUCAAGGAGGGCCCCAAAAUAUUUAUUUAUUUUUUCUUUUAAAAGUUGCUUCUAAAAUAGUUUCUUAAUAUGAGGUACAGUAGUAUACUGGUAUAUAUAAAGGUCUAGAGUAUAUAUAAGAAGCUAAGAACAUCAAGAUUUCUGAAGUUCCAUCUUGCAUUAAUGGUUUCUCUUUGAUUUUAUUCAAACUAAAUCUAUGUUCAAGUCCUAAUAGUGUUAAGAAAUAAAACUUUUUUUUUUAAUGAUGCUUGAUGAGUUGAUGUUCUGAUUAUAAAUGUAUCAAAUGGACUAUCUUUGGGAAAAAAAAAGGACUAUAAAUGACUUUGGAAGGACUAAUUUGUGGUUUAUAUAAUUAACAUAUAUUGUUCUACCCUCUUCCUUUGGUGCAUUUUACUACUUAAAAUGUCAUAUUUUUCUUCCAAUCUCUUUCAAUUUUUUUUUCUUGUGUUCAAUCAUUGCUUUAUAUACAAAAAUCCACAAGUAAAAUGAAAAUUUUUUUUAAGGCCUAAUUUUUGUUACUAGUUGUAAAAGGUCUACAUUAUAUAUACACACGUAUAAAUGAAAACAAAUAUUUUUACUUAUUUGUUUUACUUGUAAGUAGUCUUGCAUUUAUAGGGUCUUCUUUUUGACUUUGCCCUGGGCCACCAAAAUCUUAGGGCCGGCCUUGUUAUUUACAAUGCGUUUUUGCGACUGUAAUAUUGUAGUUCAUAUUACUCAUAAAGAGUGCAUUAAUUGUAGUUAACUAUACUAAUAGCAGCUUCAAAGGCUUCCCACUUAGAUUGAGACACUGUUGGGAAUUCCCCUGCCAGUAAGUCCUUCGCUAGUAGGAAAUAGCAAAGUGUAGGGCACCUUCACCGGUCCAACUCGGUUCUUCAGUUUCUCAUCAUUGUUCAUACUUGUAAUUCUGUCCUCAAUUUCAGCCAGUUUCUUUCCAAAUUUAUCAAAGGCUUUCAAUGGUUCUGUGUCUGCUGUCCAUUCAGGAGUGUCUCUCUGCCCCAAAUACACUUCAUCAGUAGAAUGCCUUGACAGAAUUUCAAUAAGGGCAAUGCCAAGCACUGUCUGCAGCUGAGCAGUAAUUGUUUUCAAGAAAACUGUAUCAGGGCUGGAUUCGAGCUCUUUGUACUCAGGAGUUCCCUUCUCAGGCAUGAAUUUUCGGCUUAUAGUAGGGCGGUUGGGGAGGUAGCCUGCAUAAGGGUACUGUCCAAAGUUGACAGCUGCAUGGAGAGCAGAAGCAGUCCAUAUGAUGAUAGUGCAUGUUUCUACUAGGUCUUCGCGAGUCUGCAUUUUAGGCCACCAGGGCUCAUCUUUUUUGUCACCAUGGCCUUCCUCUACAAGCUCCUUCCACCAGGAUUGGAGUUCAGUGUCUUUUUGAAUUAUGUCAUCAGUCUUGUAGUAGAAAGAGCAACAGUCUUCAACCCAAGUUUUAAUUGCAAACCAGAUUUCAAUCCCAUCAACAGCAUAUGGAUAGUCCUCGAUCAGUAGGCGAAGACCAUGUGGAGAAUUUGCAUCCUUGAUUGCAACUCCUCUGUUGAUCAAAGGCAAAGCAAUGUAAUUAGAAUAAGGAAUGGAUAUUUAUUACUUAUAUUGUGCUCAUUUGAGUUACUUAUGCAGUAGCUAAUAACUCAAAAAGUGUAGAGUUUUGUUUACCUCUUGAUGAGAUCUUCAGGGAAAGCUUGCUCAGUGAAAACCCAAUCCUUAUAAACCACUGAAGACAUCUCCAUGGCAUACCUAGCUGGAAAAACUGUCGUCUCCAGAACGCCGCCAGCAUUAAUCAGGAUUUGCCUGGCAAAUGCAUUUAUGUUCAUGGUGUCACGGAAGUGAGGAUGCAGAAGUUUGUAAAUUGGAUGAACCACGCUUAGCUGUCUGUUUGUAGCUAUUACAACUGGCUCACACACUGCAUGGGUGUUCAACCUGUAGGCAAAAAAUUAAAGGAUUAUCAGAAACCCAUUCAAAGUAAUAUGAUGAAUUUAAUUUUAAAGCUUUCUUUGUUUGAAAGAUUAAUACCAGUGACUGAUAAGUUGAUGAUAUCCAGAGUCAUUUACAGCCACAUAAGCUUUAGCCAGUUGCCAUAUGGAGCCUUCUACACCUUCUUCAGAUGGUGUAUAUACUUUACUAAUGCGACCAAAUCGAUCUCCAUCAGGAUGAGGCAAGCUUAAUUCAAUCACCAAUGGCUUCAAAGUUCCAUCACUUUUCAAGAAAAGGAUUGUUCUGCUAGCAUAGAUCUUGUUCGAAGUUGAGUUUAUCCGCCUCAGGUAUGGCAUCAAUGCAUCAUGAUGAUCUAAUAUGAAUAACUUGUUCUGCUUGAACGCCUAUCCAACCAAAUUCAUUUUCAUCAUUAUGAAAUGAUAUAAAAUCAACAUAAGCUAAUUGCAAUGUAAAGGAAGCAAAUCCAAGAUAUUACCUCAUCCACUGUUAGUCCAUCCAUGGUAUUCCCUAUAUCUUGUUCUGUUAUUGUACUAGUUUGAUCACCGUAAACUUUUGGGUCUAGUUUGCUUGCUGGUGGAAAUUCCUGCAGUUCCGUUAGAAGCAGAUAUGGUUAAAGAUGAACGAAAUUGACCCUCGAAAGUUUUGUUUUCUUUUUGUCCAUUAUCAUUGCAAAACAUCAUACAAAAAUGUUGUGAAGAUUACUUGGAGACGACGGAUGUUGACAGGGUUCACUCCAGCCAGCAUUUCUCUGGCAAAUUCUUCAUCUGUCCUCCAAGCAGAUUUAUCCUCUGCUCCAAAUCAUUAAAACAUCACAAUUAGAUAAAAGGAACUAGUACAUGAUAUGGUAGGCUAUUGCUUAAAGACUCUCAAUUUAGAAUUUAAUAUUGGUGGAACCAUAUACCUUUGAUCACUUGAGGCAUGGGGAAUCUGAGCAAUUGUGCACUGUCAGUUCGGAAAAUUUCCUUGAGCAUCUCUGCAGGGAUGUUGUCUCCGAUAUCCUUCAAUAAACCUUCUGGCAAGGGAAUGCCUCCUUCAUAGAGUUUAAGAACAUCCUCAAAGCUGUCGAACUCGUUAGGAGUCUUAUCAAACAGGGCUUCUAGCUCCGGUCUAAUGAAUUGAGCUAUGGAUUUCAGUGCAUAAGCCAGGAAGUCUGAUAACUUCAAGUGUCCAAAUCGUUCAUCUCUUGGCACAUAAAUGUUUAAGCUCAUAAGAAGUGGCAACCUACUCUCGCUGUUAGAAUCUAUUGGAAUAAGAUCAGAAAAAUCUUAGUGAUAAUUACAACAUCAGUUAUUUAAAAUCCAAAUUAGAAUAUCAACUUUUACAGUAGAACAAUACAAAAUAAUAAUAAGAUCCUUCUUGUGACUGCUAAUCAAUGCUUUGAGGAAGAAAAUAUAGAGAGAGAUAUUUAAAUGGCUAACCUGUCUCUGUUGCUGGUCGGCCAGUUCUUCCCCUGCGAGGGUAAGGGUACUUGCUAGACCCUCCCAGCGUAGGACGGGCGUAUUUGGGACCCUUAUCAGGGUUCCCUAGAUCAUUGUAGUAAGCAUAGUCAUAGACCCUGUCCCAUUCCUGGAGCUCUCCCUUUCCAUCUCCUCUCAAAUGUACUAGUUCUUCUUCUCUGUAUUUUUGCAGCGGCAAUGGUGUUUCACUUGGGAGAAAUGUCUGCACAAAUAUAUUGCAGGCAUGAACUUUUGUCUUUAACUUACAAUACAAGUCACUAAUAUACUCAUAACAUACUAGGCUUGCACUAAGAAGUUAGAACUGCCAUCAGCUACAAUGAAUGGUGUGAAUUAUUCGUUACCUUGUUAACGAAGAAAACACGGUCCUUCGUGUAUUUUUCUGCAGGAUACACCCAUGAGUUGCAAACAAAGUGGACCCGGCCCUCACCAGGAACAUCUUCAAGGGUGACAGUCUUAAGGAAGAAUUCAGUGUGAUGAUUGUUUAUUAUUAAGAAGGCUCCUGGAACUCCUAUUUCGUCUUCCCAGUCAAAGGUAACCUUGAAUGCAGACUCUCCUGCUGUUAAAGGAGUGAUUGUGGUGAUCCAGUCUUCCAGAUAUGCUGGAUUUCCAAGUUUCCCCUGAAACCCUUUUUCUACAAAAACACGUUAGUUCAGAAAAUAAUUGUAUAUCAGGUCUUAGUUGGAGCCCGCCAUUUUAUGCAAGUUGCUAUAAUUGUCAAUGCAUGUCAAGGUCUCAUAACUCAUAAACUUAGUUUGAGAAAUAACUGCCGCUGUUUUUGUUGGUGUAUAGGUGUAGCUGCUGUGAUGGAAUUAGAAUAUGAAGGUUCUAUUCUUGUUAGGAAGGCUGCCUUGGAUCAUAGUCCAAGUGUACAGCAGAGAAUGUAAUAGCAUUUUGCCACCUGUCAUUAUCUUAUAGGGUAAUGAUUGAAUGGCUAGAUUUAGUGAUGUAAUAGGGAAUAUCUCCUCCCUAACGGUUUUUGUCAGUGUCAUGAUAUAUACAUGUUUUGGUGCUGGGCUGAUAAAGCUAGCAUUCUUCUAAAAGCUCUCUCUCUCUCACACACAGAAAUCUGACCUCUCUUUACUCAAAAGCUCUCUGCAUUUUCAUUGAGAUUUAUUACAUGUUUUGAUUGAAUCUAUAUGCAUGAUAAUGUUCUGAAUAUGCUAACAGUUUUUUCAGAACAUUCAAACACAUCCCAAAAAGAAUUGGUUCUGAAUGAAAACCAUAUAAUCUAAAAGUCUCAAAAGCUAUGCCAACAGCCAACUACAUGGAGCUUCAUUUUCAGGUUAACUGGUAGCUAGACUGGUAGUUGGCGUUCACAGGUGAGGAUAAGAUUAACUUUCCUGUCUAAUCACUUCAUGACAUGGCCAUGAUUUAAAAAUCAUUCUCACAAGCUUAAUUAUGCCACUUAUUGAAAACUAAACUGGUUUUUUAAUCAUACUUUUUGUAACCCAAUUUUCCAAAUAUGCUGGCUUUCCAACUUUUCCUUGCGACCCCUUUUCUACAUAAACAGAUCAAAUUCAAGAAAUGUUCAAUUACAAGACCUCCAGAUCAAAUUGAGAUGUUCUGUUUAUCUCUUUUGUGGUUAUGGUGUUAAGAUGUGUGAAAACAGCAUAUUUAAAAAGAUUAUAUAUUUACUUCAAAAACACUAUAAUAAUUACUAGUAACUUGGCACCAUUAAAUCCCAUGUAAAAUCAUUGAAGCUAAUUAAUCUAGAAGCAAACUAAAAGGUAAAGAGCAUUCUCACCAGGGUCACCCUUAACGGAACUAAUGAGCCGCAGAGAAACCGCUUUGCCUAACAGCUCAUGAACACGAUCAAGAACCGAUGCUUUAAAAUCGUUCAAGUCCAGAACAUUCUUCUUCAUCAACACCACUCUCCCUUUGAUCUUCUUGCCCUCAUGACCUGUCUCAAACUUAGUUUUCUCUUCCUCCAUUUCUUUGGGGUGUGGAUCAAUGGUGAUGUUCUGGGAUGUCUUGGCAGCUGUCGAAGCCGAAGUCAACGGUUGAGAUCGUGUAACAUAAGUCAUGCACAAGAAACGAGGCAUUUUCAUAAAACUCGUCGGCAACAGAACUAGUCUGUGAUUGACAAAUGUUACAUGAUCUGGUUUGUUGACUGUUGCUGCAACAACUGAGUUCAACUGAGCUCUACAUGGAGCUUUUGUCCUGAAUUUCAUCAAAGGAGUGAGAUACUUAAAAUGCAGCAUGGGGUGUUCUGCUUCAAGAACUAUGGGGGAGUUAACAGAAAAAGGUUUGAAGAUCUCAUUGUGAAGAGAAUGGUGUGUGAUAUUUAUGAGAUGUGCGAGUUCACUGUUCAAUGUAUAUAAUAAUAUAAUACAUAAAAAUAAAUUUUUUUUUUUUUUAAAGACUUCGGCUCUACUUUGCGUGGUCUUCAGGGUUGACUUAAAUACCUAGUCCUUUUCUAUUUUUUGUGAUUCAAGGUAGCUUCCACCCUGUUAGUAUGAAAAUUGUAUUGUCAUUUCCUAGACUCUAGUAUUGGUUAGGAAUUAGUGUGUGAACGUGUUUUACUGGAAGCUUUGGUGCAACACAUUCAUUCUGGAUCUUUGAAGUAUGACAUGAUCGAUAUGAGAAACUGAGUUCAGGUAAAUCAUGACAUAAUCAUGCAUUCAUUAUAGGAUUCCUAGUUGGAGUUAUUUUCAAUCAAGUAUUUUCAUGUUAAUCCUAUUUUUAAUAGGAUUAGAUUUUAUAUCUUGAGAUUACUUUCCUAGUUAAACUCUAUUUUGAUUUAAGUUAAAAUAUUAUAUUGAUACCUAAUUGGUCUCUUUGAUAAAGAUUGUUAUCUUGAAUAACAAUCCUUGCAUAAGUUGACGAAUUGAUUAGUAUUAGUGGGCUGAAUGUUUUUUUACGUUUUUGAUCCUGUGCCCAUUUUUAAAUCACAACAAAUAGUCAUAGUUGAAUAGGUUUAGUGGGUGUUCAUAUUGCAUCAGGUUUAGGAGUCUUAAUUGAAGUGGGUUUGGCAUUUGUGGGAUGCUAUUUGACUAGGCAUAGGGAACCUUGAAUAAAAGGAGGACGCCUCUCCUUGGUUAUGUGGGCUUUUGAUAUUUUGUGUGGAGCAUAUAGAAUUCUAAGGAAAAAGCUGCUGUGCAUUUAUUUGAGAUAAAACAUCAAGUGUUAAACGUUUUACUUGGUGAUUUAUCAAACACUUUAAUCAUUCAUAUCGCAUUCAUAUGCAUAUCGGUGACUGAGAAAGUAGGGGACACCAAGAUCGUUGUGGCGGUCUUUCUCCGGUGAGCUUGAAUCGAUCGUGACCAGUAUCGAAUUCAACAUAAGGAGAGUUGGAAGAACUCCGGCGAGCUUGAAGCAAUCGUGACUAGUAUUGCGUUCAACAUAAAGAGUGUCGAAGAUCAUCCCGUGACAGAAGUUGAGUUACGAAGAAGUCGGUAAACAUUAUCUAGAAUGAGUCUAGGAUAAGUGUGUGAGUACUUCUUGUAAUCAUCGUUCUAUAGUGGAUUUGAGUUGGACUGAGGAGUCCCGUGGAUUUUCCCCAGAGGUAGGGUUUUACCACGUAAAAUAAUUAUCUGCGUGUUCUUUUAUUUUAAGCUUUGCACAUCUCAGGAUUGAUAACUAAUAUCAAUCCUGCUCCAAAGGUUGAUCAUUAUUUAUUGCAAAAAUUCGAAUUAACUUGUUUAACAUUCUCCAGGCAUAUAUAGAUAUCCUACAGGUAUUUUCACACCCUCUUUACCAAACCAACAGAUAUAGAGUUCAUAUUCUGCAAAUUUAACAUCUAGGAAUCUUGAGUAUCCUUGUUAAUCCCAAGUGUGUGUUUGGGGUUUGUCUUUGAUUGUGCAAAACAUUGACAAACAUACAAUUAUAGGCUAGACUUCAUUGUAUCCGUAAGACUUAUUUGCAUAUCCCCUUUGCACACAAACAAUGAGAAAAAAUAAAAUCUGAAAAAUAGCUUAAAUCUUACGUGCCCUUGAAACAAUCUUUCGUACUCUCAUUAUCAUUCCCCAUAAACAUUUCCAUUAAACCACGACCCACAGACCUUGUAUCAACAAAAUUUAGCCAAUCUGUCAUAUUUGAAAAUAACUUCACUGACAUGACUAUGAGAGUGAUGCAUGUCGACACCAUAACUAUAAAUCAAAUAUUAAAAUCCCCACCCACAAGGUAGGUUCUUCUGUACCUGAAAUAUUAAUAAUAUAUGCAAAUUCUUGGAAGUGGUCUUAAUGUCAAUGGGAAAUGCUAGAGAGUUUACUUGCAAGAGGUAUGAACACAUGAUAAAGAACGCAAAAUCCUUGCCAGUUGUGUUUCCUAUUUGUGCCACAUCAUCACUCAUUAUAGGCCAGUCAAAUUAGGUAGACUUCAAAGUCAAAAUACCCUCUACACGCUAUUAAAAGUCAAGUUAUUACCCCCCAAGCCCCGUUAAUCUCGAGAGAUUUUAGGUUCCUAACUCUAUUGAUCAUACAGUAACCGAGCUCUGUUGGCAAUGCGUAUUGCAGACCUGCAUAACAAGAACAUGUCUGAGAGGGAGGGAGAGAAGCAUUUGAGCAUUUGAGCUAGUCGGCAUUCUUUUAUACUUAUAGCACUAAUGUCAAAAGGAGGAAGAUGAAUGAUGUAGCCCGUAGGUUUAGAGUAAACAGCCCGUAGGUUUAGAGUAAACAGUCCGUAAGUUUAGAGUACACGCUUUGAGCAAUAGAACAGAGAAGAAAUAAGGGAUCGAGGAGAAGAAUUAGAGAUCGAAGAGACGAAGGGAAAGGGAAGGAAUCAGAGAGUUUAAAGCAAGGAGAUUUAUCAUUAAUCAAGUCUGCCUUAAAAGAUUACAAACAACUCUAUUUAUAGAGGCAAAAUCCUUUUUAGUCUAGGAAAAGGAAAAGUAAACUUUAAGAAAUAGGAAAGCAAAUUAACUAAUAAGAGAUCCUUUAACAAGAAGGAAUCCUUAAGAAUCAGGAAAACUAAUAAGAGGAAAACUAAUCCAACUAGAAGUAGGAAAACUAAUAAUAUGCAUUCUGCAUCAUUCUCCCCCAUCGAAAAAGAACUCGACACCGACGAGUAAACCAAGAUUAUGGAUGACGACGUCGUUUGUAAGUACGGAUGAUGGGAGGACGGGAUGCAGCCAAAUCCAGAUCAUGAAGAGCAUCUCGAUAACUUUGCAGAAGAGUAGAAUCCAACUGGCAAAAUUCAGCUUCUGUAAUCCAAGUAUCCUCAGUAGCAGGCCUUCCAACCCAACGAACCAGAUAACGGGUAGAACCUCCAGUAGACGAGGCCACAACUUCAUGAUCCAAGACGUCCUCAAUCUGAUCUGUAGGGACAGAACUAGUAAAAGGAAUACGCGGCACCAUAGGAGGAGUGGAACCCUGAGCAACAUCUAUAGAAAUAAGUGGAGAAAAGGUGCCCCGAUAAGGAGAUAAAUCAGAAACAUUGAAAAUGGGACUUAUAUGCAUAUCUGCAGGCAACUCAAUCAAAUAAGCAUUGGACCCAAGCUUCUUAAUGAUACGAUAAGGACCCAUCGAACGAGCAUGAAGCUUCUUGAAAGAGUGCUUAGGAAAACGUUCAGGACAAACCCGCACCAUAACAAAAUCCCCUUCUCGAAACUCCUGUUGACGACGAUGAGCAUUGGCUGCCAGUUUAUAAGUGUCUGUGUGCAUGGAUAUCUGCCUACGGACGUCAUCAUGCAAUUGCCUAAUAUGUUCAGCAAACGACGUAGCAGAAUCUGAGGUGCGGGCAGCCACAGGAAGAGCAACUAAAUCAACAGGUGAUCGGGGAGAAAAUCCAUGAACCACCUCAAAAGGACUCUUACCGGUACUUCGAUUAACUGAGUUGUUAUAAGCAAACUCAGCCACAGGCAACAAGAGAUCCCAAUUGCCAGGUUUAUCCCCAACUAAACAGCGGAGUAAAUCACCAAGGCUGCGAUUAACCACUUCAGUUUGACCAUCUGUUUGGGGAUGGAAAGCAGAAGAAAACUUCAAAGUAGUACCGAAAAGCUUCCACAAAGUCUUCCAAAAAUAACUAACAAAUUUGACGUCACGAUCAGAAACAAUGGAGACAGGGAGGCCAUGCAAACGGACUACUUCCUUAAAAAAUAACUUGGCCACAUAAGAAGCAUCAGUAUUUUUUGCACAAGGCAGAAAAUGUGCCAUUUUAGAAAAACGAUCAACUAUGACAAAGAUAGAGUCAUAGCCGCGACUAGUCUUAGGUAAACCAAGCACGAAAUCCAUACUAAGAUCCUUCCAUGGUGUAUGAGGUAUUGGUAGAGGGGUAUAUAAACCUGUGUUACGCUUGCGAGCUUUAGCUAGCUGGCAUGUGCGACAUUGGGAGAUGAGAUGAGCAACAUCACGUUUUAAUGACGGCCAAUAGAAACGAUCUUCUACCAAGGCAAUAGUCUUAUCUUUGCCAAAAUGUCCUGCGAGGCCGCCACCAUGUAAUUCCCAAACAAGGAAUUCACGGAGAGAAGUACGGGGAAUACAUAAUUGUGUUCCUCGAAAUAAGAACCCAUCCCUCGUAAUAAAGUCUACAUACUCGCGGCGGUUACCAUUGGAAACUUCAUGAAAAAUAAUUCCAAAAUCUGGACAAGAUGAAUACUCAGUCUUAAUGCGAUCAAACCCGGUUACUUGAACUGUCAUUGUGUGCAAAAUAGUAGCCACGCGACUAAGGGCAUCAGCUACCUUAUUGUCAAUGCCUGGACGGUGUCGUAAAACAAAUGUAAAGAUCUGGAGAUAUUCGGACCACUUAACAUGUCGACUGCUAAUGGUUCGUUGAGAGUGGAGAUAUUUCAAAGCUUGAUGAUCUGAAUACAACACAAAUUCGUUUGGCAGUAGGUAAUAUUGCCAAUACCGAAGUGCUUGUACCACAGCAUAAAACUCCUUAUCAUAAGUAGAAUAACGUUGCUUUGCUUCAUUAAGUUUCUCACUAAAGUAUGCUACGGGAUGUCCUUCUUGGCUAAGCACACCACCAAUCCCAACUCCGGAAGCGUCACAUGCGACUUCAAAGACUUUAGAAGAACAGGCGCUUGAGUCAUCUUCUGUUUCAAAAUUGUAAAGGCCUUGGCAGCUGCAUGGGUCCAAAGAAAAGCUCCUUGUUUCAUACAAUCAGUUAUUGGUGCCAUAAUAGUACUGAACCCUGGAAUAAAUCGUCGAUAAAAAGAGGUGAGACCAUGAAAGCUGCGUGCCUCUGUCAAAGUCGUGGGUGUUGGCCAAUCAAUAAUAGCCUCUACCUUGGCAGGAUCUGUGCUAACCCCAGCUGCAGAAAUAUUGAACCCCAAGAAUAAAACUUCAGGUUGAAGAAACGAACAUUUUUUUAAGUUGGCAUAUAGUUUUUCCUUCCGUAAAGUAGAGAAUAUCGUCCUAAGAUGUUGGAGAUGUUCCUCCCGAGAGCGGCUGUAGAUCAGUAUGUCAUCAAAAUAGACUACCAGGAAUUUACCAAUAUAAGGUCGUAACACAUGAGUCAUCACCCGCAUGAAUGUGCUGGGUGCAUUGGACAUGCCAAAGGGCAUCACAAGCCACUCAUAUAAUCCAUCAGGGGUUUUAAACGCGGUUUUCCACUCAUCUCCUUCACGAAUACGAAUUUAAUGAUAGCCACUGCGAAGAUCUAUCUUUGAAAACCAUUGGGAACCCGCCAAAUCAUCCAACAUAUCCUCAAGUCGCGGUAUGGGGAAACGAUACUUAACUGUAAUUUUAUUUACGGCGCGACUAUCUACACACAUUCGCCAGGAGCCAUCCUUUUUGGGGGUAAGGAGGACUGGAACAGCACAAGGACUUAAGCUAUGACGAAUAAAGCCCUUAGCCAGCAAUCCCUGAAUUUGUCGAUUCAAUUCCACUCGCUCAGGUGGAUUCAUACGAUAAUGGGGGAGAUUAGGAAUUUGCGAACCAGGAACAAGGUCAAUUGCAUGCUGAAUCUCUCUUGCUGGAGGUAGGUCGUCGGGUAAGUCAUCAGGUAUGACAUCAGAGAAUUCAGUGAGGAGCUGUUGUAUAGGGUCGGCAAGUGGAGUGGUGUAGUCAGAUGCCAGUUUAAGCAAGAGGGCAAAGACCACACCAGUUUCUUGCAGUUCAUAUGCAAAGUCUACCGGUGAUAAAAGACUCAAUCGAUGCUCCAAAGCCUUCUCUUUAAUUGACAGGUUUGUUUGAACAUCCUUAGUUGGUUUGAUGGCCGGAUUGGAAGGCUUUAACGUUAUGUUCUUUCCUUCAUGUUGAAAAGUAUAGGUGUUCUCCUGGCCGCAACUUUUCACAUGACGAUCAUAAAGCCAAGGCCGGCCUAGGAGCACAUGUGCGACACUCAUAGGUAAGAUAUCACAAUAAAGUUGCUCGUGACAGGGACCCAAUUGAAGAGGAACAAGACAUCUUUGGGUAACAGGUAAUCUGGUUUUAUCAACCCAACCAACAUGAAAAGGAUGAGGGUGUGGCUCGGCCUGAAGGUGAAGGCGAUCAACAGCAGUUUUAGAGAUAACAUUCAGCGUACUUCCCCCAUCAAUAACUAGUUGGCAUCUAUUGGUACCGCAAGGGACAUAGGUUUGAAAGAUACUUGUACGCUUCCAUGAAUCAGGAGGUGGAGAUGUAGGUGUUGAAUAAAUACAACGCAUAACACUCAGUUGGUGAAACGCUUCCUCCUCACAGCAAUUAUCAAGUUCUGGAUCAUAAACAGGUUCAAGGGGCUCCACAUACUCGUCCACACAAGAGUCUUCAUUGAGGGAGCCAAGGGUUAAAGUUCUAUGGGGACAACGGGAGGCGAUGUGGCCCUUAGCGUGGCAACGAUAGCAUUCGAUAUGAGAAGCCAUGGAUGAGGCUGGUCCUUUGUCUGUUGCAGGUAUUGUAGGAGCAAGUGGACCGGCAACGCCAUAUUUAGAGCUAGGAGCACUACGGUUUGGAGUAAGAGUGGAAGAGUGCCUAGAAUGCCCUGUGUAUCGACGUUGUGGACGCAAAAAAGUUUCAGCUUCCAAUGCGUGGCAAUAUGCAUCUUCCAAAGUAUGCGGACGGAACCUCCGAACUUCACGUUUGACAUCGUCACGAAGACCAUGGAUAAAGCGGGACAUGGUGAUGUCGGGUUCUUCACGAAUCCCUGCACGUAUCUUGUGUUCGAUAAAACGAGCAUGGAAAUCAGUAACGGGUAAACUUCCUUGUGAAAGGGUCCAUAAUUGGUCAUACAAUUGAUGGCGAUAAAAGGUGGGAAGAUAUUGUUCGCGAAGCUUUAAUUUCAUCUCGUCCCAGAGAGUCACAGGUGGCUGUCCAAAUUGGUAUAGUUGCUCUUCCACGGAAUUCCAAUAUUGGCGAGCGGCUCCUUGUAGCGUCAUCUUACCAAUGCGAAGCUUAUGAGCAUCCGUCAAAUCAUACCAGGCGAAAUAAUCUUCCAUGGCUUGAACCCAAUCAAGAAACAUCGUGGGAUCCCCACGACCAUCAAAAGUAGGAGCGGUAGGCUUGAUGUGGUGGAUGACAUCGUUGUCAAAAUGGCGAGGGGGAUGAGUGCCGUGAUCAUGUGGGACUGUCGAAGGGCCCGUUGUAUGUUGGGUAUAAUGGGCCGGUGCCAAAGACCCAAAAGAAAAGGGGGGGCUCCAAUUGAGCCUUGGGAUCAUCAAGCGAGAGCCCAGUGGAGCUAGGAGGCAUGCCGUAUGGCACGGCCUUGAGUUUGUGAUCCACCGGUGGAUUGGGCAGAAGGCCACUCUUUGGUGGUGGCGUAGAGGAACUCGAGAGCAAGGCGGAGGUAGAAGAAGGUUCAGCAUGUCCAGCCCGAAAAUGAUUGAUAAGCAACUGAACGGAGUCUUGGAGUUUGGUGAUGGCCAGGUCCGUCUUCGCACGAUGUGUGGAAGCCUGUACCAACUCGUCUUUGAGGUCAAUGCUGAGGUUGGAAAGUUGGGUCUCCAUGCCAGCGAUAUCGUCAGAAACUUUGUCUUGGAACGCAUGAAAUUGUUCGGAAAGGCUGGCCACGGUUUGGGGCGCCAUGGGAGAGAGCAAACGGAAACGAAAGCGAGGGCAGGCUCUGAUUACCAAUUGAUGUAGAACAGCCCGUAGGUUUAGAGUAAACAGUCCGUAAGUUUAGAGUACACGCUUUGAGCAAUAGAACAGAGAAGAAAUAAGGGAUCGAGGAGAAGAAUUAGAGAUCGAAGAGACGAAGGGAAAGGGAAGGAAUCAGAGAGUUUAAAGCAAGGAGAUUUAUCAUUAAUCAAGUCUGCCUUAAAAGAUUACAAACAACUCUAUUUAUAGAGGCAAAAUCCUUUUUAGUCUAGGAAAAGGAAAAGUAAACUUUAAGAAAUAGGAAAGCAAAUUAACUAAUAAGAGAUCCUUUAACAAGAAGGAAUCCUUAAGAAUCAGGAAAACUAAUAAUAGGAAAACUAAUAAGAGGAAAACUAAUCCAACUAGAAGUAGGAAAACUAAUAAUAUGCAUUCUGCAUCAAUGAACUUUGUGGCUCCACUGGUGCCAACAAAAGAAGGCGCAUUGCUGCAACAAACUGCAUUCAAGGUCUGUAGAUAGAUAGAUAGACUGAGAGAAGCAUGGAGAAGCCGGAAGUUGUACAUAGACCGCUCCCCAGUAAAGAUGAAGACAAGGCAAAGAAAAGCAGAAUUGACCAACUUAUAGAUUAGUGAACAAGGAAAUAGCAUAAAACCGAUGAGUACGAAGUGCAAAUCCUUUGUUUAUUAUGUAUUUUGUGUUUAUAUUGGUCAUGUGUCAUUUGCUGAUGGAUGUUGCAUUUUCAAGUACCUUGACAAUGUAAACAAUUUCACAGUACCCAUUUUUUGAUUUAUUCUGACGAAAAAAGCACACACACAUAUAUAAAUAUAUGUAUGUAUAUAGCAAGCUAAGAAUAAGAUGAGUAAAUUACAAAAUGGAGAAGCAUUAGAUUGAGACACUGUUGGGAAUCCCCUUGCCAGUAAGUCCAGCCUCACUAGAAGGAUGAAGCAAAGUGUAUGGCAUCUUGGCCGGUCCAACCCGGUUCUUCAAUUUCUCAUCCUUGUUCAUUCUUUUCAUGUUUUCCUCAAUUUCUUCCAGCUUCUUUCUAAACUUCUUAGAGGCUUGCAAUAUGUCAUUGUCUGCUGUCCAUUCUGGCGCAUCUCUCUGCCCCAAAUAAAGCUCAUCAGCUGAGUGUCUUGACAAGAUUUCUAUGGAGGCCAUGCCAAGAAGGGUCUGCAGCUGAGGUGUAAUUGUUUUCAAAAAUGCCUUUUCAGGGUUUGUCUUGAGCUCCUCAUACUCAGGAGUGCCUUCUUCGGGCAUGAACUGCAGGCUUAUGCUUGGCCGGUUUGGGGGGUAUCCACCAAAAGGGUAUUGCCCAAAAUUGAUUGCUGCAUGAUGGGCUGAAGCAAUCCAUAUGAUGAUGGUGCAUGAUUCUAUCAGCUCUUCACAAGUCUGCAUUUUAGGCCACCAUGGCUCAUCUUUUUUGUCACCAUGACCUUCCUCUCUGAGUUCCUUCCACCAGGACUGAAGUUCUGAGUCCUUUUGAACCAUUUCAUCAGUUUUAUAGUAGAAGGAGCAAUAGUCCUUAACCCAUGUUUUAAUUGCAGACCAGAUCUCAAGCCCAUCAGCAGCAUAUGGAUAGUCCUCUAUCAGUAAGCGUACACCAUGUGAGGAAUUUGGAUCUUCAACUGCCAUUCCUCUGAACAGAGAAAAGAUUAAAUAAAUAAUGGCCAUCAAUCCUAUCAUCUUUGUUAUUUUUGAGUUUAAACAAUAGUGACAACAUUUAUCAAAUCAUUUAGACCAAAUUUUAUUCAUACAUAUGGCAUUGUGUCUUAGCUCUUAUUUCCUCAAAGGGCAUGCUUUUCCAUUUCAAUUGUGUUGAAUCUGUUACCAUAAUUCGGAAAUGAUAAAUGUUACUAUCAGAAGAUUUUACCUUUUGAUCAGAUCUAUGGGGAGCGCUUGUUCAGGAAAAACCCAGCUCUUAUACAUUACAGAAGACCAUUCCAUUGAGAACUUUGCAGGAAAGACUGUUGCCUCUAGUAUUCCUCCAGCAUUAAUGAGAACCUGUCGAGCGACUGCAUUUACAUUCAUAGUGUCACGAAAGUGAGGAUGCAGAAGCUUAUGAAUUGGGUGCAGCACGCUCAACUGCCUAUUUGUGGCUAUCACAAAUGGUUCCAUCACCGCAUGAGUUCUCAACCUGCAACAAAACAAGAACAUUUCAAGAUGCAUUUGGGAGAAAUAAAAAGGUUAUGAAUUUAUUUGCUAGGAUUUCUUUAACAUUGUUAUACCAGUGGCUGAUGAGCUGAUGAUAGCCAGAGUCAUUUACAUUCACAUAAGCUUUAGCAAGUUGCCAAAUGGAACUCUCGACACCCUGGCUAGACGGAGUAUAGACUUUGCUAAUGCAGCCAAAUUGAUCUCCACCAGGAUGUGGCAAGCUUAACUCAAUAGCUAAUGGCUUCAAAGUCCCAUCAUUCUCUAAGAAAAGGAGUGUCCUGCUUGCAUAAGUUUUUGUGGAAGUUGUGUUUAUACGCCUCAGGUACGGCAUCAAUGCAUCAUGGUGGUCUAAUAUGAAUAGCUUCUUGUUCUUGAUU